ACGCCGCGUGAGUGAAGAAGGGUUUCGGCUCGUAAAACUCUGUUGUUAAAGAAGAACAUAUCUGAGAGUAACUGUUCAGGUAUUGACGGUAUUUAACCAGAAAGCCACGGCUAACUACGUGCCAGCAGCCGCGGUAAUACGUAGGUGGCAAGCGUUGUCCGGAUUUAUUGGGCGUAAAGCGAGCGCAGGCGGUUUUUUAAGUCUGAUGUGAAAGCCUUCGGCUCAACCGAAGAAGUGCAUCGGAAACUGGGAAACUUGAGUGCAGAAGAGGACAGUGGAACUCCAUGUGUAGCGGUGAAAUGCGUAGAUAUAUGGAAGAACACCAGUGGCGAAGGCGGCUGUCUGGUCUGUAACUGACGCUGAGGCUCGAAAGUAUGGGUAGCAAACAGGAUUAGAUACCCUGGUAGUCCAUACCGUAAACGAUGAAUGCUAAGUGUUGGAGGGUUUCCGCCCUUCAGUGCUGCAGCUAACGCAUUAAGCUUCCGCCUGGGGAGUACGGCCGCAGGCUGAAACUCAAAGGAAUUGACGGGGGCCCGCACAAGCGGUGGA
Molecule: ribosomal RNA, 549 nt
Filed under: Lactiplantibacillus plantarum
Lineage: Bacteria; Bacillati; Bacillota; Bacilli; Lactobacillales; Lactobacillaceae
Description: bacterial SSU rRNA
Rfam family: Bacterial small subunit ribosomal RNA
Source: RNAcentral